GAUGAACGCUGGCGGCGUGCCUAAUACAUGCAAGUCGAGCGAACAGACGAGGAGCUUGCUCCUCUGACGUUAGCGGCGGACGGGUGAGUAACACGUGGAUAACCUACCUAUAAGACUGGGACAACUUCGGGAACCGGAGCUAAUACCGGAUAAUAUAUUGAACCGCAUGGUUCAAUAGUGAAAGACGGUUUUGCUGUCACUUAUAGAUGGAUCCGCGCCGCAUUAGCUAGUUGGUAAGGUAACGGCUUACCAAGGCAACGAUGCGUAGCCGACCUGAGAGGGUGAUCGGCCACACUGGAACUGAGACACGGUCCAGACUCCUACGGGAGGCAGCAGUAGGGAAUCUUCCGCAAUGGGCGAAAGCUUGACGGAGCAACGCCGCGUGAGUGAUGAAGGUCUUCGGAUCGUAAAACUCUGUUAUUAGGGAAGAACAAAUGUGUAAGUAACUAUGCACGUCUUGACGGUACCUAAUCAGAAAGCCGCGGCUAACUACGUG
RNAcentral lists this ribosomal RNA (496 nucleotides) under uncultured bacterium. RNAcentral describes it as "partial 16S ribosomal RNA". It matches the Rfam family "Bacterial small subunit ribosomal RNA", at positions 28 to 507 of the family's 1533-position model. The record is from RNAcentral.